RNAcentral lists this ribosomal RNA (274 nucleotides) under uncultured bacterium. RNAcentral's name for it is "partial 16S ribosomal RNA". It matches the Rfam family "Bacterial small subunit ribosomal RNA", at positions 523 to 796 of the family's 1533-position model. The record is from RNAcentral.
AUACGGAGGGUGCAAGCGUUAAUCGGAAUUACUGGGCGUAAAGCGCGCGUAGGCGGAUAUUUAAGUCUCAUGUGAAAGCCCUGGGCUCAACCUGGGAACUGCAUGGGAUACUGGGUAUCUAGAAUACAGUAGAGGGUAGUGGAAUUUCAGGUGUAGCGGUGAAAUGCGUAGAGAUCUGAAGGAACAUCAGUGGCGAAGACGACUACCUGGACUGAUAUUGACGCUGAGGUGCGAAAGCGUGGGGAGCAAACGGGAUUAGAUACCCUAGUAGUCC